CAGUCGCCGCGGGAAUACGUAGGUGGCAAGCGUUGUCCGGAAUUAUUGGGCGUAAAGGGCUCGCAGGCGGUUUCUUAAGUCUGAUGUGAAAGCCCCCGGCUUAACCGGGGAGGGUCAUUGGAAACUGGGAGACUUAGAGUGCAGAAGAGGAGAGUGGAAUUCCAUGUGUAGCGAUGAAAUGCGUAGAUAUAUGGAGGAACACCAGUGGCGAAGGCGACUCUCUGGUCCGUAACUGACGCUGAGGCGCGAAAGCGUGGGGAGCAAACAGGAUUAGAGACCCCUGUAGUCCCUGUCUCUUAUA
RNAcentral lists this ribosomal RNA (301 nucleotides) under uncultured bacterium. RNAcentral's name for it is "partial 16S ribosomal RNA". It matches the Rfam family "Bacterial small subunit ribosomal RNA", at positions 509 to 808 of the family's 1533-position model. The record is from RNAcentral.